UGGUGAUGAUGGCGAAGGGGUCACACCCGUUCCCAUGCCGAACACGGAAGUUAAGCUCUUCAGCGCCGAUGGUAGUUGGGGGUUUCCCCCUGCGAGAGUAGGACGUCGCCAGGCA
Molecule: ribosomal RNA, 115 nt
Filed under: Bacillus glycinifermentans
Lineage: Bacteria; Bacillati; Bacillota; Bacilli; Caryophanales; Bacillaceae
Source: RNAcentral